This 497-nucleotide ribosomal RNA is filed under the name uncultured bacterium. RNAcentral's name for it is "partial 16S ribosomal RNA". It matches the Rfam family "Bacterial small subunit ribosomal RNA", at positions 28 to 507 of the family's 1533-position model. The record is from RNAcentral.
GAUGAACGCUGGCGGCGUGCCUAAUACAUGCAAGUCGAGCGAACGGACGAGAAGCUUGCUUCUCUGAUGUUAGCGGCGGACGGGUGAGUAACACGUGGAUAACCUACCUAUAAGACUGGGAUAACUUCGGGAAACCGGAGCUAAUACCGGAUAAUAUUUUGAACCGCAUGGUUCAAAAGUGAAAGACGGUCUUGCUGUCACUUAUAGAUGGAUCCGCGCUGCAUUGGCUAGUUGGUAAGGUAACGGCUUACCAAGGCAACGAUGCAUAGCCGACCUGAGAGGGGGAGCGGCCACACUGGAACUGAGACACGGUCCAGCCUCCUACGGGAGGCAGCAGUAGGGAAUCUUCCGCAAUGGGCGAAAGCCUUACGUAUCAACGCCGCGUGAGUGAUGAAGGUCUUCGGAUCUUAAAACUCUGUUAUUAUGGAAGAACAUAUGUGUAAGUAACUGUGCACAGCUUGACGGUACCUAAUCAGAAAGCCACGGCUAACUACGUG